Molecule: ribosomal RNA, 492 nt
Filed under: uncultured Actinomycetes bacterium
Lineage: Bacteria; Bacillati; Actinomycetota; Actinomycetes
Description: bacterial SSU rRNA
Rfam family: Bacterial small subunit ribosomal RNA
Source: RNAcentral
AGCCUGAUGCAGCANCGCCGCGUGCGGGAAGAAGGCCCUAGGGUUGUAAACCGCUUUCAGCAGGGAAGAAAAUGACGGUACCUGCAGAAGAAGGUGCGGCCAACUACGUGCCAGCAGCCGCGGUGACACGUAGGCACCAAGCGUUGUCCGGAUUUAUUGGGCGUAAAGAGCUCGUAGGCGGUUCAGUAAGUCGGGUGUGAAAACUCUGGGCUCAACCCAGAGACGCCACCCGAUACUGCUGUGACUUGAGUGCGGUAGGGGAGCGGGGAAUUCCUAGUGUAGCGGUGAAAUGCGCAGAUAUUAGGAGGAACACCAGUGGCGAAGGCGCCGCUCUGGGCCGUAACUGACGCUGAGGAGCGAAAGCGUGGGUAGCAAACAGGAUUAGAUACCCUGGUAGUCCACGCCGUAAACGUUGGGCACUAGGUGUGGGUCUCAACCAACGAGAUCCGCGCCGUCGCUAACGCAUUAAGUGCCCCGCCUGGGGAGUACGGA